RNAcentral lists this ribosomal RNA (255 nucleotides) under uncultured Piloderma. RNAcentral's name for it is "partial 28S ribosomal RNA". It matches the Rfam family "Eukaryotic large subunit ribosomal RNA", at positions 1 to 246 of the family's 3401-position model. The record is from RNAcentral. Lineage: Eukaryota; Fungi; Basidiomycota; Agaricomycetes; Atheliales; Atheliaceae.
UUGACCUCAAAUCAGGUAGGACUACCCGCUGAACUUAAGCAUAUCAAUAAGCGGAGGAAAAGAAACUAACAAGGAUUCCCCUAGUAACUGCGAGUGAAGCGGGAAAAGCUCAAAUUUAAAAUCUGGCGGUCUUGCGGCCGUCCGAGUUGUAAUCUGGAGAAGCGUUUAUCCGCGUCGGACCGUGUACAAGUCUUCUGGAAGGGAGCGUCGUAGAGGGUGAGAAUCCCGUCUUUGACACGGACAACCGGUGCUUUU